This is a long non-coding RNA of Phyllopteryx taeniolatus (common seadragon), 1761 nucleotides long. RefSeq lists it as uncharacterized. The record is from RefSeq and is a predicted model, not a curated record. The transcript is spliced from 5 exons. Lineage: Eukaryota; Metazoa; Chordata; Actinopteri; Syngnathiformes; Syngnathidae.
AUGGUUUGGACACAUCCAGAGGAGGGAGAGUGAGUAUAUUGCUUGAAGGGUGUUGAGGAGGGAGCUGCCGGGCAAGAGAACUACAGGAAGACCACAGAGAACGCUGAUAGAUGUAGUGAGGGAAGACAUGAGGGCAGUUGGUGUUAAGAGAGGAGGAUGCAGGAGAUAGACUGAUGGUCCGCUCAGCAUUUCGCACAACCCUGUGGUGCGGGGUUGUGACCUCUGGACAUGACCCUCAAACAUCUCAGACACCCGAAGUCACGUGUACAAGCCACCUGCCUUGUCAAAAGCUGUGGGACUUGGCCGGAAAGGACCAUAUUCACAGAUCUCCCCGAACAUGAUGUCAUGCGACAAAAACGCCAGGAAACAUGAUCUCACUUUGUUUUCACCGGAUGUGAUGUCAUUUUGUUUUUGCCGGGUGUGACGUCAUUUUGUUUUUACCGGAUGUGACGUCAUUGCACAUGUGCGCUGGCACGCUGCCAAGUGAUGACGUCAUAGGCCAGCCAUCAUUUUGUCAUUUUCCCUAGGUGAUGUCAACAGACACGUGCCCUGGCACGCUGCCAAGUGAUGACAUCAUAGGCAAUACAUAAUUUUGACUAGAUCCCUAUAUUCUACCUCUCUAACUUUCUUUUUGGCUUAAUUCCCAACACCAUUUUUUAAAUCGUUUUUUGACUUUCUGGCAUAGGAUGUCCGAGACAUUGUAAAUUGUUCUCUUCAGAUCGGGGUCUUUUCUCGUGCUUUUAAGAUGGCCACUGUAAGGCCCCUUCUGAAUAAAAAUAAUUUAGACACGCCAGAGCUGACGAAUUACAGAUGACUGUCCAAUCUGCCUUUUUUAAGGGUCAGAGGACACAGAUGUUAAAACAUUUCUUGAUAACUCUAGAUCCCCUUUACAAACCACAUCUGCCAUCUGCCACAUCUAGCGCCUUCCGGUCUUCGGCUUUAUCUGGCGCUGUGACGUAAAACGUAGUGUUGUUUCGUUCGUGAACGUUUCGUUCAGAAAAAUGAAUCUUUUCACUGAAUGACCUGAACCGAAUCAGUUUAUGAAAUGAUGCGUUCUUUUAGCUUGGCCGUGAGGCGAGCGAGUCGGUUGGGAGUGGAAACGGAACUGUUGAAGCGUUCUGUCACUCACUUCUGAAUCUGCGGCGAAUGACCAAUGAGCAGCCAGCGUGCAGGCAGGGGCAGGUCUUCGUUAAACGUACUGCAAUGUGAUUUCUGAUUCGCCAGCGUUGUCACUCAUUCGGCGAAUGACCAAUGAGCAGCCAGCGUCUGGCAGCGCCGUGCAGGUGGGGGAGGGACUUAAGUGAACUGAGUGAUUUGUUCAGUGAACUGGUGUACUGAAGAACUGAAGAGUGAUUCGUUCAGUGAACUGGUGUACUGAAGAACUGAAGAGUGAUUAGUUCAGGGGAGGGACUUAAGUGUACUGAGUGAUUCAUUCAGUGAACUGGUGUAAUGAGGAACUGAAGAGUGAUUCGUUCGUUGAACUUAUUAUUCGCGAUCUGUUAGACACAAGUGAUUCGUUCGUUGAACUUUGUUUGUAAUCCGCUAAAGAGCGAUGUACAAGUACGAUGAAUGAUUCAUUUGCGCAAGGAACGAUGUACUACGCAGUGAACGUACUCGAGUGAUUUUAACCGCAAGUCCUGACGUCCUUGCGGGGAUAGCUUUCCUUUCACUUGCAGCCGUUUCUUCAAGCUCACGGCUAAUCUUGAGUCAGUCAAGCACAAGAAAACAAGCACACAUAUUUAAAAUAAAUGUAAACUAAUA